This 232-nucleotide ribosomal RNA is filed under the name uncultured bacterium. RNAcentral's name for it is "partial 16S ribosomal RNA". It matches the Rfam family "Bacterial small subunit ribosomal RNA", at positions 118 to 347 of the family's 1533-position model. The record is from RNAcentral.
CGAGGAACAUGACCUUCGGCGGGGGAUAGCCGGCCCAACGGCCGGGUAAUACCGCGUACGACCACAUGGGGACAUCCCUGAGUGGUGAAAGCAGCAAUGCGCCGAUGGAGUGCCUCGCGGCCUAUCAGCUAGUUGGUGAGGUAACGGCUCACCAAGGCGACGACGGGUAGCUGGUCUGAGAGGAUGGCCAGCCACAUUGGGACUGAGACACGGCCCAGACCUCGUACGGGGA